Molecule: long non-coding RNA, 32349 nt
Filed under: Populus tremula
Lineage: Eukaryota; Viridiplantae; Streptophyta; Magnoliopsida; Malpighiales; Salicaceae
Description: long non-coding RNA (PTRE_LNC000786)
Source: RNAcentral
GAAAAUUGGAAAGGAAAAGCCAGAGCUAUUACGUCUCACCGAGGAAGAGUUGGGAAAUUCACUGCAUUAUGCAUCAUCCAUAGGUUUUCUGGAAGGAGUUCGAUUCCUGUUAACGAAGUUUCACGAUGGUGCUUAUGAAACAAACCUUGAAGGCGACUAUCCUAUCCAUCUAGCAUGCAAAAGGCACUCUGCUGAUGCAGUGAAGGAAUUUCUUGCUAAAUUCCCAUAUCCAAAAGAAUUCCUCAAUAAGGAAGGGCAGAACAUUCUUCAUGUAGCGGCCAAAUAUGGAAAUUACAGUGUGGUUUGGUACAUACUCAAACAGGACCAGAAGCUCGUCGCACCGCUGCUAAAUGCGAUAGAUGAGGAUGGAAAUACACCUUUGCACUUGGCAGCAGGUUAUGGCCGAUUCACGGCUACAUUUCUUCUUGUGCGUGACAAUCGCGUUGAACAUUUCAUUGUUAACAAUGAAAAUUGGACACCAUAUGAGUGGGCUGAACAAUGUUCCAAAAGAACUGAAAAGAAAUACAUAAAAAACAGAUGAAAUGGUAUGCUACUAAUUUGAUCAUCAUUUAUCGAGCUACAAAAGUCUAUAUAUUUUAGGAGUAUUACUGAUUUAAUAUUUUGGUAUCUGGGCUUCCACUUUGUUGCCAGCCUGCCGAGGAACGAAAGCCGAUUGAUUCAAAGAACAGUACCCCUGCGCACGAGAUCAAGGUAUUUACGUUUAGGAUUAUGAUAAGUUUUUUUUUAUUUAAGAAACAAUAUUUUUUUUAAAAUACUAUCCAAAAAAAAGAAAAAGAGGAUGGAUUAAUAAAAAAAUUUUUAUUAAAUAAAACAACUUGGAGUCGGGCCCUCUUUUCGCACUAUUACGGAUACGAAAAUAAUGGGAAAAUUGGAUUUAAUUAUCAACUGCUCCUAUCGAAAAUAGGAUUGACUAUGGAUUCGAGCCAUAGCAUAUAGUUUCAAAAAAGCAUAUUAUUUUCUCUAUCUAAAUAAAGCAGGUUUUAAAUUAAAUAAAACAGGUUUUACAUGAAGAAGAUUUGACUCAUCAUGUUCUAUUCGAUACAAGUAGGAGAAGACCGCGACUCGGUAUUCUUAAAAGAAUAGAAAAAUCAGAACCAAGUCAAGAUGAUACGGAUCAACCCUUUCUUCUUGCGCCAAAGAUCUUAUUAUAUAUUUAUUUCAAUAAAAUCAUGAAAAAAUUUUGUCCAUAUUUAUUAUUUUAAUUGCUUUUAGUUUUUAUGGAAUAAAAACAUAGCUAAAAAAAUAUUUAUUUUUUUUCAAGAAAAUCAUGAAUUGAUUAUUCUUUUAUUUUUUAAUUAAAACUUAUUUAUAAGAUUAUGAUAGGUUGUUAUUAUAUAUAUAAAAAACAAUUUUAUAAGAACACUAGUAAAAAAAUGGAACGUAUUAAUAAGGAAAAUGGUUUUGAUUAAAAAAAAUAUAGAUACCUUCUUUUUUUCAAAUCAAUUUAAAUAAUUUUUUUUAUCCUAUAAAAUUUAAAUUAUUUAAGAAAAUUAAUUUUUAUUAUCGUGUAAUUAAAUAAAAAAAAUUAAAAGUAUCUCGUGUUUGCAACACGAAAUAAAAAAUCUUCAAUAUAUAUAUUAUUUUAAUCAAAACCAUUCAAUCUCAAACGACUUUUUUUCAAACAUGAACCAGUUUCAUUUGCUGAGAUUGUUGUCUAGCCAUAGCACACAGAGAGAGCACUGCCUGUUAACAUAUAAUAUUAUUAUUAUUUUUUUACAGGGCAAAGAAGUUGAUUCAAAUAAGAUGGAUACAAAAGAGGCAUCAUCAAAGGACGAAAUAGUGCUUUGGUAUUCUGAGUUGGUAUUAAUAUUGCUUUUCUUAUUUCGUUUUGUUUUUUCACUUGCCAUCCCUAAUCUUUUAAACUUCUAGUUCAAGCCCAAUUGAUUGAACUUGUAUACCAUUAUAUUAAAAAAUUCUAAACCAUUCCAGUAAAUUACUUGUUCUGGGAAAGGCAUUUGAAUUAGGUCAAUGCUUUUGGAUGCAAUUGAGCAAGUGCCAAGAACUCAUUAAACAAUUAAGUUUUUAAUUUCCCCCGUGCUAUAUAUGCAGGUGAUAACAUUAUCGAUCUUAUUCUUCAAUGCCCGCCCUAAGAAAUCCCUAAACCAGAUUUCCCCUGUUAUUGGACUACCCAUGUCAAAAGCAAGAGAGGAAAGAAGGAUCAUGACAGGGAAUCUUCUAGUGGUAGCAGUGCUUGUUGCUGCUGUAACCUUUGCGGGUGUUAUACAAUUGCCGCAAUUAAGGGAUAACAAUAACUCAAGUGAUCGUGAAUUUAACAGCACUACUUAUACUGCCUCCGAUUACAGCACUUAUGAGAAUCUUCUGUAUGGUUAUUUGUUUCUCGAUGUGGGGGCUUUAUCUUCCUCUCUGGCGGCAGCUCUACUCCUUCUUUUGGCAAGCGGUCAUUAUCCCAGAUUUCAAAUCUGUGCAGUUGACUUCUCAAUAAUGAUGGUUUGUUUUUCUAUUUUAAUGAUGUUCGGGGCAAUCCUUUUUUCUCUGAGAAUAGCAUUAAUAGGAUCCCAUGGUUGGAUGUUAACAAUCUUCAUUACAGGGGUGGCCUUCGUUUUUCCUUCGAUUAUCCUGCUAUUUCGCCACCCGGUUCUUCUACAAGUGCUCUUGCAUUAUAUCUACUACUACUUUUUUUUAUUGCGUAUCUUCAUUUUCUGGUGGCUGCCUAAUAAACUCUUUGAUCUCAAGAGAAAGCUCUCUGAUCACAAUAGAAAGCACAAUCUUUAGUAAGAUCAGAGGUCGGGAUUUUGGGAUCGAUCACAUCUUGGAUUGUGUCUGGCUAGCGAUUGUGGUAAUAAUUUGAACUUUGUAAUAACUCUUGAGUUUCCAAUUGAAUGUAUGCGCACUUCUACUUAUAUAUAUAUAUAUAUAUUUUAAGCAUGCAUUUACUAGACUCCUGUUGUUGUUGUUGGAUUGAGUAAAAAAUAAAUAAAUCAAAUAAUCAAAUUAAGAUAUGAAUGUUAAUUAAAGAUAUCAACAGCUUGGUUGGUCUGAACAGUACCGUCCCAAAAUCAUUGACACGGUGCAUUACGAUAAAAUCAACAAACAUCCAUCCCGUCCCUGCUGCAGGAUUUUUUUCAAGGUAAAAGGACGAGCAAUUUAAAAUAAUGUUUUGUUCUAACAAAUACAAGCCAACCCCACCCCUCCAUCAACAAAAGAGAACUAUAAUUUUGAAACCCGGCCCAGUCAAGUGAUCAGAUCACGGGUCAGAUGGGUUGACUCGACUUAACUCGGAUCAACAAAAAAAAAAACAGUUUUUGUGUUUUUGAUGCCUAAUAACAAGAAUAAUUGGCGGUUUCGAAUUUGAAAUAGCCACUGGCUACCCUUCCUGCCUUGUGAGAUAGUUUUCUCAACCAAUCAAUGAGCGAUUAUUAUAGAAUUUCUACACGCCAUUAUCCCAGUUGCUACAAGAUCUGACCUCCUCCAGCUCGUUUCGUUUCUUUCCUUUUCUUUGUGCCCUGUUUAUUAUGGUUCCUAUCUUGGUCAUCGCUGCCUAAUCUCUGAUGAUGGAGGCCACUGUUCUUGUUAUUAGGCAUCAUUCAUCAAGAACACAAAAGUAUCCUUACCAUUACUAUUACUCUAGAGCUGCUCUUCUUGCAGCUCCCUAGAGACCCCUCCUCCUUCUUUGGCGUCCACACACAGUAAGAUCCAGGUUCUAGGCUGUCAAUAUCAUCAACUUCCGAUGAAGAACACAAAAAGGUUUCACGGUCCUCGUAGAAGAGCUUCCCGAUGAGUAAUCUAUUUGGUUUCUUGGCAUCUUGGGUACUAUUGGUUGCAGUUUUCGAUCUGGGUAAGGAUUCUUGGUCAUCUAAGAGUAACCAUUGCUUCUGUUACGCUGCGUUCAACUACCUCCUCCUUGAAUCUUUAAUUUUAUCCAUCAAAGCCAUCUCUCCUCGUCUCUCUCUCACUAUAGUUAAUUGACGGGGUCUCACAAGUGUUUGACUGGGUGGACCGGGUCCGGGUCAACCCUUCGGGUCAACCGAGUUUUUCCAAGUCAAUUCACAAGCGGGUUUUUAUCUCCACCCAGAUCGGUCCUAGGCCCGGGUCGGCCGAGUCUCGGGUCAACCCACUGGAUCGGUCUAGGUUUUAAAACUUUGAAGAGAACACAUUAUAUAAUGGAGAUUGUGUCCCACGUUGUCAUUUGAUGAUAAUUUUUUUGUUGUUGUCUAUAGGUAUUCCAUUUUAGAAUUGCGUUAUAAACAAUAUGUUAUAAAAAUUAAGAUUGUUUUAUUAAAAUUAAUUUUUUUAUAUUUUUAAAUUAUUUUAAUAUAUUGAUGUUAAAAAAAAUUUUAAAAAUAAAAAUAUAUUUUAUUUUAAUAUAUUUUAACAAAAAAAAAUUUACCAUACACUUAAACAACUCUCUAUUUUUCUUUUUUUAAAAAAGAACUCCUGCUUUUCUUUGACUAUUGUUAACUUCUAAAAAGUAUUUUUUAUUUAAAAUAUAAAGGAAAUUUUUUUUUUUAAAAAAAAUUUUUCACAAAAAUUUUUUUGCUAACCAACUUUUUUAAUAACAAAUAAAUAUAAAAAAAAAUCUGUUGUUUGAACUAAAUUGUUUCAUUUAUGGACGAAGAACAACAAUAUUAAAGCCAGGAUAUCAUUUGGUUUUGGAACUUGUAUCGGUUCAUCUAAUCUAAGACUUCUUUCACUUCAUCCCUUGUAAAAUCUUCAUAUAAGUGAGAACUCGUAUCAUUUGUGGCUCGCCAUAAACAUUCUCAAUCACCUUAUCAACUCGAUCCUGCUACUUGAGAAUAAAACACAACUCUGGAUUUGUCUUUGGUGCUUAUCAAACCAGGCUCAUUAUCAAGAUUUCUAAUUAUUAAUUUUGCAGAUUUUCUUGUUAUAUUCUAAUCACAACUCAGUGUAAUUCUUUUAAUCUAACCAUUUCCUCCCUUAUUUAUAUUAAAUAAUCCAUAAUUUAAUCAAAUACAAAGUAAAAAAAUAAAGAUAAAAAGAUAUAAAUAAUGAUCAUAUCCUUUAAGCUGCUUUAAAUUUUAUAAUAAUAAAAGAUUUAAAUUACGUUAAUACUCUGCUUAAUUUUCAGUUGAGCCCUUUUUUUGAGAACAAACUAACGAAAUCAAGUGAUAUAGUUUAUAUUAUUACUUUAAAAAUUUUAAUAUAAUUAUAAAUUUAAUUCAUUGAGUGGAUAGGGUUUCUAUUAUAGGCAAGGAUGCGGCUGCUAGGUGAACAUGGCUUGGCAAAACAUCAACUUUUAUCAUACGGUACAUGCUUUGCAGCUGAUUCUUUUGUUGUUUUUUUAAUCCUUUCCUUCCUCUCUACUUUUCUCUUGGCAAAAAAAUUGAUUUCUUGUUCAUCAGUUGAUGAUAUUCAAAAAUCCAAUAUGUUUAAGAAAGAGAUUUUUUAGUGUUUGGACAGUGAAUAAAUAUUCCUUACACAUCAUUAAUAAAAGAUAAAUAUCUUUUACAUAAUAUUUAAUACUGAUGAAAAUAUAGUAGACCCUUAGAAGAUUUUUAUACAUCAGGAGUGUAGAGAGAUGAGUAUUCUUAACAUUAACAUUUCAUGUUAAAAAUCAUAAGAAUAAAUAAAGAAAGCCUUAUAGCCUAACAUGAGACUUAUAAUGAUCUUUAAACCCAUACCCACUUAGGCUUGACAUGAUGUUAAGUCCACUAACAAUGGGUCUUGCAGCUUGCCAGACCCACAUCCGUUUAGGCUUAACAUACAAUUAAAUCCAACGACAUUGGGUAUGACAAUUUACCAAAGGUAUAUAUACUUAAUCUUAGCAUAUAGUUAAACCCGUGGAUAUUAGGUCUAAUAGCUCACUAAACCCAUUUCUGUUUAGGCUCAAUACGUGAUUGAACCCAAGAUCAUUAUGUUUGGUAGUUUAACAGACCUAUAUGUACUUGGUCUUAUUACGUAACUAAUCCCAAUGAUAUUGUGUUUGGAAGCUUGCCACACAAAUUUUUUUGGGCUUAGCACAUAGCUGAGCCUAAGGAUAUUAGAUUUGGUAGCUUACCAGACUUAUAUAUGCUUGAGCCUAGUAUAUAGUUAAACCCAAGGAGUUUAGAUCUAACAACUUGAUAGACCCAUUUUUUUUUUGUCUUAGUGCAUAGCCGAACCUAAUAUCAUUGAGUUUGAUAGCUUGCUAGAUCUAUACGUACUUGGAUUCAACACGUAGUUGAACCCUAGGAUAUUGGGUUUGACAACUUGAUAAAUCCACGUCUGUUUGGGCUUAACAUGUAGGUGAAUUCAAUGUGUUGGAUCUAACAGCUUGUCAUACCCAUAUAUACUUGGGUUUAGUGUGUAGGUGAUCUCAAUGAUGUUUAUUUGCUUUUUUAUGACGUUUCAACUUUGAUAGCUCAAUGAAAUUUACUUUGCAAAUCAUAUAGUGUCCUUGAUAUAUCCAAGUUGGGGAAUUGAUACCUUUUAUCUUGUUACUGUUUAAAGGAUGACCUUUCUUUUCACCUUUUUGGAAAGCAUUUAGUGUUGCACAAUCAUUUCUUUUACCUCUAGUUGGUACAUUUAUGACAAUGAAGUUAAUUACCAAAGAUUGUUUUCCCUGAACCUUUGAAAUGCUCUUUUCAAAUCUAUGACUUUCAGACUUAUUUUUCUUAGGCUCUUACAUAGGUAAUGUCGCACGUCACCCGCGUGGCAUCGGCUUGGCGAUUUUUUAUUUGUUUGGUAUAUUGGUUCAUUGGAGUCAUCACCUAGUAUUUAAUUGAGGGCUACUAGAAAACCCGGUUGUGCUGGUCUUGUUAGAGAUUCACGGAUAAGGGAUUGAUUGUGGUUAGAGAAGAUAUUAGCACCCCUAACACACCCUACCUGAGGUAAGCUGCUUCGUGGACUUGAUGUGUUAAAAAAGUUUUAAAAAUUUUGUUUUUUCAUCGAAUAUUAGAAAUAUAACUUAUGUGUAAGUUCAUAAUUUUUUAUUCGUAAGCCAAUCAAAAUAUUAAAUUCUUUUUUAUUCUUGCAAUUUUAUCAUUAAAAAAAAACAUUUCAUAAACAAAAUACAAAUUACACAUUCACUUUCACUAUACUUUCUUCUUUUUUCUUUUUUUUAUACACACUACAAAUUAUAAAAAAUCAAAACUAAAAAAAAAAAUACAUUAAAUAAUUUUAAAAUUACAAAAAUAGUCCAAAAACAAUCUAAAAUUACAGGGAUGGCCUUUUGCAAGCCGGAACAGUGUUAAGCAAGGUUUCAAUUAGUGGCGACGCGUCUUCCCACGCGCCACCGGUCAUAGGCGGCGCGUGGGUUCAGGCGCCGCCGUUACCCCCCCCCCCCAAAUUAGAAAGGGCAAGUCCUGCAGAAACACACAGAUAUAUAUAUAGAAAGUGGAAAAAAAACCCUCAGAAUCUCUAUCAGCAACAAAGAGUCGAAAACCAUAAAAAAAAGCUUCCAAUUUUGAUCUUAUGUGCAUAUAUACAUAAAUGUAAUGCUUUGAUGUUGGCACCAGGUUUUUCUUAUUGGGAAGGAUUUUGGAUCUAUAACAGCAUAUCUAGUCGCUGUUGUGCACCCUGAGAGGGUUUCAGGUCUUGUGUCCCUCGGUAUUCCUAUCUUGCUACCAGGUCCUAAUUGUAUCCGAAAUGAUCUCAUGCCAUCAGGUUUCUACAUAACAAGGUGGCAGGUACGAUUCAUUUAUCUCCUGUAUUUGAUACUUGCCUUUCAGAUCCUAGAGUGAGUUUUUGGUGAUAAUGAUAAUUACAAUUCAUUGUUGAUCUUGCCUGUUUUCUCUAAAUAAACACAGGAACCAGGUAGAGCUGAGGCAGAUUUCGGACGCUUAGAUGUCAAGACAGUGGUAAGAAACGUAUACAUUCUCCUAAAGUUUGCAGGUAUGGAGGACUACACAAAAAGUGAGCAACUGAAGCAUUUUGUACCGGAUUUGGACAAUGUGUUCCUUGAUGAAGGGAACCAUUUUGUUCAUGAGAAUCUCCCAAAGCAGGUGAAUGAGCUGAUAAUUAACUUCCUCACCAAACAUUGUACCUGAAGAUUAUAUUCUAUGACCAUUUCAAGUGUUACGAUGGUUUCCAGCUGGGGUACAGAGUGCCUCGCAACUUGUGUUAAGCUGAUAUGAUGUAUCGAACUAUGUUUGAAAUAAGAUAUUUUCAUCUUUUAAGAUCUGAUUUUGGUUAAUUUCCCAUUUAUCCUAUUUUCAUUUGCAAUGGGCAAUUGUUGAAUUAAACGAGAAUAAACAGAAAUUAACGAUUACAAAGGAUCUCAACCAAUUUUAAAAUUUCAUCUGACCUGAUAAAACAAUCUUAACUUUGUUAAUCUCUUUUAAUCCGUUAAAAAAUAACAAAGUACAAAAUAUUGGUUUAUUUUAUAAAUGAAUAUAGAAGAAAACAAUGUUUAUCCCAUAUAAAAAAGAAACACUCUCUUCUAAGUGUUUAUAAUUGUAGGUUUCUAUUGUUUAGUAAAUUAAGUGAAAGUUAUGAUGGAAAAACUUUUAUAGUGGGCUUCCUCAUGCUAUUAUAUGUAUAUUUAUAAUAUCAAAAUAUAGUAUUUGACACUUAAUAUGUCAAUGAGAUAAAUUUAUUUUUGAAUUAAUUUCUUUAAUUUUUAUAAUUAAUUUUGAUAUUUGUGAUUAUUAAGAUAUAACUGAAUAACAAUUUAAUUUAAAAGAUAAAUGUUUCAUUAACAAUAAUAUAGUUUUAUUUACAGUUAUAAUAUUAAAAGAUAUAAUAUUUUAUUAUAAUAUUUUCAAGUCUAUUAAAAAUGAUUACUAUACAAAAAACUAUAGAUAGAAAAAAAAUACAUUUUUUCUUUCCUUUAUCUUAUUCUUAUAAAAGUUUAGCGAGCUUAAUUAUAUUAUGAAGGUGUUGUUUUUGUAUGAGACAAAUAAAUAUCUUAAAAACAAUGAUUUCAUAUUUCCAAACCAACUUUUUAUUUAUUUCCAUCUUAUUAUUUAUCAAACACAAAUUUGUUUAAAAAUGAGCUAAAACUGGUUGCUAGAAUAAUUUCUGAAAUACAUUUUGCUCCAUUCUAUUUGGUUGAUAUCUAGUGAUUUCCAUUAUUUCAGAAUACGAAAGUUCUACAGUAAAAUGAUCAUAUACUUGGUAUAUGUAAUUCGAGAAUCUGUUAUUAAUAUCAUUUGAUCACCCGUCCAUUAUGUAAAGCAAAAGUGGCUCUUUGCCUGAUGGGAGAUCAAACCCCACACUUGUAAUACCAUAGUCUACUGUAAAAUAAUGCAUGAUUGUCGAGGCUGAAGGCGGACUCCUAUCAUUGCAUUUUCAUAUACAGUGACCUAAUAUUCAUAAAAAGAUUUUAGAGUUCAUAAGCAGGGAAUCUAGCCUUGGAUGGGUCGAUCAUAUCUAGAAAAAGAUAAGCCAUACCUCCCAUUCCUUCAAACAUUGAGUGGGGGCUAUCACCUCCAUGCAUCUCUCCGGCCGAUAUAUGUUUGUGAGCUCUAUCCAGCAGAAAGCAAGUAAACGCUUUGGCCUUGUAUAAGAACUCCAUGUUGCCUGUUAGCUGGUACAGUGAGAGAAACACAUACGCAUUCCCACUGAUGCCAUGGCAAAUUCCAACUCGCUUGAGCAGCCCACGGUUCCACACUACCUCUGCAGCAUUUAUAGCUGCUUCCAGAAACUCUUUAUCUCCAAAAACCUGAGCAUUGCACAUUUCAAUUUUAUAAAAAGCUGAGGCAAAGUAGUUUCCAGAAGGACAAAGGGCUCCUACCUAUAAUUUUAUAUGAUUUGGGAAAAAAUAAUGCUAUCUAGUUAGUUUCAGUCUUUAAGUAUCCAGCCUGAUAUGUGUGAUCAGAGCUAUCAAAAGAAGGAAUAAACUUUGCUACUACAGAAGUUACAGUUUCAAGUAAACCUAUGAAUACUGUUCCUACACAAAACAUUCUUAAAAAAAAUGAAGGCUACACUCGGUUGGAAAACCUACUCGGAUUCAGACCAAAAAUAAAGAUCUAAUUCAAAGAUUUAACAUUUAUUUCAUGUAUUCAGCCAUAUUGGAUACCUCAGAGAUCAAGACAAACACAUGCAAUAAAUGCCAUUUCCAUUUGCCAAUGAAUUUGAAAAUUUAAUGCUCUCAUUAACAUGACUAAAGGAGAAAGGUCAAAAUCUGAAUCAUUCAUAAAUAUCAAGUUCUUGCUCCAGUGGGGCUUAAAUUAGCUUACAAUGAACUAGAUAACUGGAGAAAUUUACCUUAACUGCCUUGACAAGUGUAAGAGCAAUUCCAGGUGCUCCAUGACACCAAUGCACAAGAACAUCCCUCUUGCGAUCUUCUUCACUUGUAGAGUAGUUGCCGCUUGGAAAGCAGUUAUUGAUCAUGUAUUUAAGGGUGCCCUUGACAUCCUCAAACUCAUCAGGUUUCAGCUCUACAUCCAAUAAAACAUUCAUAAUACCUGCCAAUCCAUGGGCAGCACCCCAAUACCUCUCACCAUACCAUUCAUACAUUAAUGGGGAACCUCCUUUCUUCGCCAAUGCUCUUCCAUUUUUUAUAAUUUCAUUCGCAACAGCACGCUACAAUAAUUUUACCGUAAGACUGUUACAUCCUGCUUAACUAAUUCAAAACCAAAGUAGCAAAAUAGGUAAUAGCACAAAUCUCACAAUGGUCGUAUCAGGGACAGUCCCCUGCCCCAUGUGUUUAUUUAGGAACAAACAAGCCCAUAAGAAUCCACUUCUUCCAUAUAACAACUCAUCAGGGUGAUUUCUCAACAGCUUAAUCUGUUUCAUAAACAAUCAAUAAAUACUCACCGACAACCAAUUUGUUUUUUACAAAAAUAUGAAAAAUAACACAAAAUAGAGUAAAAAGGCCACCUCUCCUAAUUGACUCAGAUAGUAACUCUGUAAUGCUUCAUCAUUAGCAUGCUUUGCUGCUACAGCCCCAAGUGCACAAACACCAGCUCGCCCACAUAUAAAUGUCACAUCCCUAGAUUAUAAAAUACAUUCAACAACAUUACCAGAUGUCCAAACCGAAUCCACCCCUCUUUAGUAGCUUCAAAUUUGCGUUUUACACAAGUUAUAAUCAAAACCCAAAAUCAUAUCCAAUUGGCUCAUACCAUAAAUUUAAUCACAAAAACAAACUAUACAGUGAAACAACAUGACAUCUUCACCAAGAAAGGGAGACUCUACCUUGAAGCCCGAGAAGCAGAAUCACAAGCCUUAACAAUCUCCAAACAGAGAAAGAGAUCUUUUUCAUUACUGGUAACUUGAUAGCUCUUAUAAAGCAACAAAGCAGUGCCAAGAUUUCCACUGUAAAGAGUAAAAUCAUGCACAACUUGCCCACCUAACCCCCAUGUCUCCAUCACUAUCUGUAGAACACAAAAAUCCCACUAAACACACACAGUGCCAACAUUACCAAACAAAGCAAAAACAACCCAAGAAAUGAAAACAAAAGAAAGAGAAGUUCUUGUUACUGUUUCUUUAAGAUCCAAACCAGAACGUUGAAACUGCUUGGAAAGUGAAGUGUAGGGCAUUGAGAGAAGCUUCAUGAGAGAAUCCUCAUCGGUUACUUUAUCUUCUUCUUGUAUAUCUUCUGUUACAAAGCUUGGCAUUACGUUGGGAAAGAAUCGAUCGGCCAUUGCUGCCUCUGGUUCUGAAGCGAGAAUUUUUUUUUUUUUUCUCUGUUUUAGCCUUUUAGGUUGUCGUCAAAGGUUUAGAGCUUAGUAGCUGCUACCUGGUACUGAGCGUUGGAAAUUGGCUAUUGUAAACGUGGCAGAUGCACCGUCUGCUUAAACUACUUUGUUAAAUAGUGUAAAUUGCAUCAUUGGCCCCUAAAGUCUUAGAGAAUUGAAAGAAUUGCUAAUUUAGACUCGCUACUUUCAAAACUCCAAAAACAAGCUUUAUCUUUUUUUUAGUACCGUAUAACCUUGAUAAAUUAAUAAUUUUCAUUAAAUAAUAUUUUUAUAGUAUCGACUUGAAACCAAGAUGGUAAAUUAAUAAUAUGGUGAAUUUAUAAAAUAUAUUUAAAAAUAAAAUAUAUAGAUCCCAUUUGAUAUAUAAAUUAAUAAUCUUAUUAUAUAUAUAUAUAAUCAAAAUUAUAUAUACAUGAUUUUAUAACAUCUUUGUAAAAUUGAUUUAAAUUAUACUUGCUUUUUAUUGAAAUUAAUAUUUUUUUAGAUCUUAUCACUAACGUUUUGUAUUAAAAAAAAUAUACAAAGUGAUUAUUGCUUUAAAUAUAUUUUUUUAAUUAUUAACUUUAGUAUGUAAACUAGUUCAUACGCACCUCAAUUAAUCCCACCGACUCUAAAAUUAACAACUAUAUAAGUUUCCAGUAGUCAUUAAAUUAGUAAUUAUAGGGCUCGAAUCUCAUACUAUAAAAAAAAUAAACUCCUUAAUUCAAAUUUUUUUUAUUAGAUCAUCUAUUAAAAGGUUGCUUUAAACAUCUUUUCACGAGUCAAGCUAAAGAACAUAACCAAUGUAUUUAACUUCAUCUUGUUUUUCAUUUUCGAUAACGUUCAAUAAUUUGCUCAUUGCUUCAUAAUUCUAAAGUUGUCUUUCUUUCUUUUUUAUAGGAAGUUCAAAAGUUACUUAAUAUCUAUAUCAUGAUAGUUCAACACUUUAAUUAAAAUAUAAAAUUAUUGAAUGCUUUUAUCAUCUAGGUGUUACUUUAAAUUUUUUAGAGCCAUAAUAUUCAAAAACUUAAUUUUACAAUGUUAAAAAUAGUUUGUAAUUGUACUUCCUCGAACAUCUGUUGUCGAAGCCGAGAUUGCUAUAUUCAUUACAUCUAUAACAUUAAUCUUCUCUGGAUCAAGGAUUCCAAUUUUGUAUGAUCCUGAUAUGAAUCUUUAAUAUGAUGUUGGGGUAGUAAGAAAAACAAUUUAAUUUUUUAUUGAUGGGCGUGGCAGCAUCUCAGUCACAUUUUUUCUCCUGAGUUUUUGGAAACUUGCAGAUUAUCAAAUCAACUUCUUCAUCUUCUUUUUUUUCUUUUCUGAAACAAAUAGGCAAGAAAAGAGAAAAGGGGGGAGAACAAAUCGAAGAAGAUGAUUGAUGUCCAUUUGUUGUUAAGGUAUUGUACGUAAUUCCUUUUGUUGUGAUUGAUAUUAAGGGUGAUUAAAAAGGCACCUGAUACUAGCAUCUUCAGUUUGGAACUAAACACUUUCAAGCACAAUCCACAGAGAAAAAUGACACCAAAUGUCUCAAGAUUUGCCUCUAUAUAUAAGUUUAACUAUAGCAUUUUUGGGAUCCCUAUUUGGAUAUGGUUUGUGCUUUUUUUAGGUUAAUUUUUGUUACCUUUCAAUUUUAGUGUUUGCUUCUGAGGAUUAGAGUUAGGUUUUUUUUGUGCUGUUCAUCUCCUUUGCUUUAUUGGUGUUGCAUCCCUCCCCUGCCUCUUCUGUAAUGGGAUUGUCUCCAUCCACUUGUGGAUGUGGUUGGAUGCUUGGAAUAUGGUUUGCUUUCUUCCGUGUUUUUUUUUUUUUCCUGGCAGAAGGAUAGAUGAAUUGUAUGGAGGUGUAAUUAAUAUAAUUCGUUGUUAUAUGAUUCAUGGGCAUAAUGUGAAGGUGUAUAAUGAUUUGAAGUAAGGAGGAGAUAGAAAAUGAUAUCACAUUGAUGCUGAUUUGAUUGUCUCUCGGUAUUUUGGUUGAUAAGCGGGCUUAUAUAUUUUGAUGUAUUUAAGGGUAUUAUAAUAGUUGUUUUUUAAAAUAUUUUUUAUUUUAAAUAAAAUUUUAAAAAAAUUAUUUUUGAUAUUAAUAUAUUAAAACGAUAUAAAAACACAUAUUAUUUUUUAUUCUUGGCAUAGAUUUUGUUAGAAACUUGAUGAAACACCAAAUUCUUUGCCUAAACACCACUGUCAUCCUUUUAGAUUCAAUGUUUUUUUGUUUUUUUUUAAUGGAAGAUCUAGUAAAUCUCUUUGAAGACUAGAAUGAAAUGCUCACUUUUUUUUUCUAUAUAAAAAUACAUAUUUAAAAAUUCAAAAAAAUCUAAAAUUCAAAUUUAUUUUUGGAACACGAGAAGAUAAACCUUCAAGCUGCAAAAGAUCAAAAUAUUAGAAGAAUAACUAGAUUGCAAGAUUUGACAAGAUGAGAUGAAAGAAGAAGGAAGAAAGAAAAAUGAGGUUAUUGGUGCUUCGAUUUAAUUACUUUUAAUAUUGUCAUCCUCUAAUUAGUAUUAAUAGUACUCAUCUGUAUAGUAAUUACAAAGCUAAGAUGUUGGUUGCAGUUGCUUAUGAUACGAAUAAUGGAGUUUAUCCAUUAUGUUUUUUUUGUUAUGGAAGAAGAGACAAACAAACCUGGUCGCAUUUCUUGAGAUGUUCAUGUAACCCGAUGCAAUAUGCCCUUGAUAUCUGAGAAAGAAUCGAUUUGUAUGCAAUAUAGUUUUAUAUUUAUUAAAUACCAUAAUAGUUUUAUUGUGAAUGAUGACUACUAAUUAUUUUUUAAUGUAUAUAUAUAGAUUAAUUACUUGGUGCAGGAAGCUCGAAAGGCAGCAACAACUAUCUUUAAAGGUGUCAAUAAGAUGGGACAUAAUGUGGCCAACAUCACCUUCAAUUUAUGUUGUAACAGACUUCAAGAGGUUAGGGAGGUCCAAUGCCUUGAAGCAACAUUAGCGGAAGAUGAGAUUGCUUAUCAUGAAAGUGUUAAAGAUGUUGGUCCGUCCAUGAUCAUUCUAGGUCCAUCCACGUACUAGGAUGAUAUUGGUCCUCCUCAAACCUACAUGGAUAUUUCAAACCCGACCUUAAAUUGAAUGAGUUGGGAGAUAAUUAGAUAUUAUUAUAUGUUGUAAUAAUUAUGAAUAGAUAAAUAGAUAAUUUAAUUUUUAAUAGAAUGUUAUAUUAUCUUAAUCAUUAGUGUAUAUUUAUUAUUUAUAAUUUAAUAUAUUAUAUGGUGCUUAUAUAAAUUGCGUUUUAAUAAUAAAAAACUAGUUAUUUAUAAUUGUACAAAUUACUGUUUUUUUUUGUGUGAAAAUUAAUAGCAAAAUAGAGUACUCCUAGAUGUCUCUAUUAAAUGAGUCAUAUAUGACAUGGAAAAAUGAUCUUCCCAAGCUAAGAUAUCUGAGGACUACAUCGUAGGUGGAUAGAAGAUACCACGGGGCAUGAUUGUGAUGGUCAGUGUAUGGGCUUUACAUAAGGAUCCAAAGUUGUGGGAAGAGGAUGAGAGCUUCAAGCUAGAGAGAUCUAAAAAUAUACCAACCAGUGAAUUUCGAAUCUUUGUUAUUGAUAUCGAGCAUUGAUAUUAAUAUUGAUGCAUAGUGCGACUCGUUGAGCUAAUUAAGAUUACUAGGGAUAAUUUUUUUUUUUUUUUUAAAAGUUGUCAUCUAAUAAUUAGUGACCAUAAUUAAUUUUUGAAGGUUCUAAAUUAUAUAUAUAUAUAUAUAUAUAUAUAUAACAGUUUUUAUUAUUAUAUAAAUAAAUAAAUAAAUAAAAAUACCUACAAGAUCAAAUAUCUUCAUCCCAUCUCUCUUCUAAUUUGAAUCAAUAAGGUUCACAGGUUCAAGAUCAAAUAUAUGCAUAAUAUCUUCAUCCCAUCCCUCUUUUAAUUUAAAUCAAUAAGGUUCACAGAUUCAAGGCAUUUGCUUUAGAUUUGUGUUAAUGUUAAAAAUUUUUAAAAAAACUUAUUCUAAUAUAUUUAUGAUAAUAUUAAAAAAGUAUUAAAAAAUAAUUUAAAUAUAUUUUCAAAUAAAAAAAAUACUUAAAAAACAAUCAAUAUCUUACUUUAAAUUACCCCAUUAAUAAUAUCUUUGACCACUAAUCUUGGUACAAAGCCAAAAGAGAAUUUUGAUAAAUGUAACUUAACUUGUCAGAUUUUGAGUUUAUUUUCAAGAAAUUAUUGAUUUAAAAAUUACUAAAAACUUAUAUAAUUAUUAAUUUUAAUAUUUUAAAGGAUUAAUUGAGAUAUGCUUUAACAAUUGAAAAUAAAUGCUAAGGAAAAGAGAACAUCUGCUUUUCUUCCUGCCCGAUUACAGUGUUCGGGUAAGUUGGUAUAUUUUUUUAAAAAUAUCGCAUAUGUUCUGCACAAUCAAUCAAAAUAAGUUCUACACUUUAAAAAUUGGCAAAAGCAAGAGGGGAUUAGCUCUUGGAAAGCGAGACUUGACAACUAUUCUCUCGUCCCGACUUUGGAAAUGAAAGAUCCGAGUCUGGACGAAGUACCUUCCUCGCGGAUAAGAACAUCUGCUUUUCUUCCUGCCCCAUGAUUACGAGUGUUCGGGUAAGUCAGUAUAUAUAUAUUUUUAAAAAGGCAAGGGAUAAGAGAACAUCUGCUUUUCCUGCCCCAUGAUUACGAGUGUUCGGCUAAGUUGAGUUUUUAUUUGUUGGAAAUUAAUUUUUUUUUAAAAAUAAAUUUUAGAAAAAAUAAAUUUUAAGAAAGUAUUUUCUGAUGUUUGGUAGUGUAAUGAAAAAUAAAUUGAAAAAUACUUUUCAGUAUUUGGUUAUGCCAUGGAAAAUAAACUGGAAAAUAACUUAUUAAUAUUUUAUUUUUUUCAAGUUUAUUAAAAUAAUGAGAAACAAAUCUUACAAAUUAAAAGGUUGAAUGAGAAUGAAAUUGAAAAAAAAAUAUAAUUUCAUAAAUUAUCUCAAAUAAAAUAAAUAAUAAUCAAAAUGAUAGAGAUCAAAUUUAAAAAAUUAAAAAAAAAUGAAAGAUGAAGAAAUUAAAAUAAUAAUAAUCAAUAUUUCAUAAAUUAUUUCAAAUAAAAUAAGUAACAAUCAAAAGAAUGAGGACCAAAUUUGAUAGAUAAAAUAUUUCAAUAAAAAUAUGAUAAGGAAAUAGCAAAUAACAAUUAUAAAAAUAAGGACCUAAGUUAAUAUAAAAAUAAAAUUUUAAGAGAUGAAAUUGAAAAAUAAAUAUUCAAAACAAAAUAUAUAUACUAAUCAAAAGUUUGAGGAUCAAAUUUGAUAUAAUCAGCAAAUAAUAAUAUUUCUAAAUUUUUCACAAUUUUCGAAAAGUGUUUUCCCUUCAAAUUUUUCAGGAAAAUACUUUCUUGAAAACCAAGCCAAAUUUUCCUUUUACUGGAAAGUGUUUUCUAUUGACCAACUUUCCUACUGACAAACAAACACAAGAAAGUUUGGAAAGUGAUUUUCCGGAAAUCACUUUCCGGAAAACAAACACAGUUAAAGGGAAAACACUUUCUUGAAAACCAAGUCAAAUUUUUCUUUAACCAAAAUUGACUGGAAAUUAUUUUCCGUUGACCGGAAAGUGUUUUUUAUUGACUAAAAAAUGUUUUUCAUUAACCAACUUUUCUAAUAACAAACAAACACUGAAAAAUUUUAAAAAUAAUUUUCCAUAAACUAUUUUUCGAUAAACAAAUAUGAACUUGCCUUAUUUUUUAAAAAAAUAUCGCUUAUGUUCUGCACAAUCAAUCAAAACAAGUUCUACACUUUAAAAAUUGGCAAAAGCAAGAGGGGAUUUGCUCUUGGAAAGCGAACUGGACAAAUAUUCUCUUGUCCCCACUUUGGAAAUGAAAGAUCUGCAUAAAUAUGGACCACACCUUCAUUUGACAUCACGUGAAAUGGACAACGAAAUUAUGGAAGAAAAUCAAACACAGACCGAGUCCACAAAAGACAUAGACUAAGACUUUUUUUUCUGUUUUUUUUUUCCCCAAACGAAAGCGAUUUCAUCCAAUAAUACUUCGCUGGCAUUGUCUGAAAAUUCAGCAUCAGUGACUUCUUCGACGACCUGGUCAGACAAUAGCUAAAAAUAUUAAAGGCAGACUCGUAGGUAAUUUAAUUUACCCAAAACAGCUUUGGUAAAAGAAACACUGAACACUUCCAGUAGAUAUUUAAUUGAGAAAAUUAGAGGUUACGGUUUAUUAUACAUUAUUAUUAUUAUAUUAUUAUAAUUAUUAUAACAUAUACUAAAAUAGUUCAGUGUUUUACUGUGCAGUCUACAAUGAAAUGGUGAGUUUUUUUUUUUUGGUUUUUUAAUUUUGCAAUCUUCUUAUUAGUCCAAAGACACGACCAUUAAGCUGAUAGAGAACUCCGCAGGCUGAGACCAAGUCUGCGGUCCUUUUCUCGCCCAUUGAUUUUGAGCUGAAGUUGGCGAAAGCUGUAGAACUCAGCAGAAAUGACUGUAAUUGAUUCAGCUUCAUGUUCUUCAGAACGAACACGCAAGCUUGAUCAUGCAUCUAGGGUUUUGCAUCGUUUUUUUGGCUUGCAAAACGGGUCUUCUUUUGGGACUUUUUUCCCCACCGAGACAUCAAAGGUUAUCCUGUCUAUAAUCCUACCUUGGUUCGAUAUUAUCAAAAAAGUUGAAAAGGAAAAAAAUUAGCACUCUGAAAUGUUAAGUUACGUCUCCCUUUCAUUAUACACUAGGUAUGGCCCAUGCUACGUCAUUGGCAUUCAAGUUAUGAGAGUUAUUUUAGUGGUCGAUGAGUCAGCAAUGAAAUCUCAUGAACAGUCUUCUUGUUUAUAUUAAUCAAAUUAAAUAAAAUAUUAUCCAUCUCGUAUUAAUAUUUAAUUAAUUUAAUUUAAAAAUAUCUUAGAAAAACUAAACUUAACAAAAAAAAAAUAACAUAUAAAAAAACCUUGGAUAACUUGAUUUAUUUUCAAAGUCAAUGAAAAAUCCUAUAUAAAAUAAAUAAAAAAUAAUUAAUGGAGAAAAUUGGAAAAGCAUAUUUUAAAAAAUAUUACAAAGUAAGUAUCCCAUUAAUUUAUAAAAGAAAAAAAAAUCUAUGCUCUGAAUUUUUAAAGGAAAAUAAAUAAUAAUUAAUGAAAAAGAUAAAAUUUAAAACCCCCAAAUUACCUAAUAAAAUUUGUUAAGCCAUAAAUUAUUUAGAGUUAUUAUUUCAUUUUCAUAAAAAAAUAUUUAUUUUUCAUAGAUAAUGAUUCUUUCCUGUUGUAGAUUACUUUAAUCGGACUUGUUGGGUAAUUUGGGGGGUUUUAUAAUUUUUAUUAUUUUAAAUUUAUCAAUUCUCUUUUUGAUUACUUUUAAUAAAAAAAAAUCAAAGCAAGAACAUUGCCCCAUCCCUUACUAUUUGAUUUGACAUCACAUGAAAUUAUGGAAGAAAAUCAAAGACAGACCGCGUCCACAAAAGACAUAGACCAAGACUUUUUUUUAUCUUUUUUUUUUUUUUUUUUUUUUUUUGUCUUUCCAAACGACCAAGACAUUGACAACUAUUCUCUUGUCCCACAAAAGACUUAACACCAGCAAGUUGCAUAGAAUAAAAACGUGUUUAGCAGUAUGUUAGGAUUUAUUUUUUAAAUAAAUUUUUAUGUUAAAAUAUAUGGUAAUAAUAUUUUUUUAUUUUUUAAAAAUUAUUUUUAACAUAAACAUAUCCAAACGAUUCAAAAAAUAUAAACUAUAUUAAAUUUUAAUAAAAAAAAAAUUAAAAUUUAAUGAGAACACUGUUUGUACCGCUUUCCCAAGCAAUUUCUAAAGACUUUUUUUUUUUUUUUUUUUCCAAACGAUUUCAUCCAAUAAUACUUCGCUGGCAUUGUCUGAAAAUUCAGCAUCAGUGGCUUCUUCGACGACCUGGUCAGACAAUAGCUAAAAAUAUAGAAGGCAGACUCGUAGGUAAUUUAAUUUACCCAAAACAGCUUUGGUAAAAGAAACACUAAACACUACCAGCAGAUAUUUAAUUGAGAAAAUUAGAGGUUACGUUUUAUAUUAUCAAUAACCCAUUGAAAUGCUUAAGAAUAAAUACUAAUAUUUAACAAUUUAAUUACAGCUUAUCAUCAUCAUGAUGGCAUCCCAGUGCAGAUUCCUCUACUUCUCAAAAUCCUUUUGUAUGUUGUCACCUUUAAAAAUUUAAUUUAAUAAACACCUAGGUUAUUUUCCUCUUUUCAUUUUUCUCUUCAUUCACCGAGGUUACUAUAAAAAAUAAAAAAUAUAUAUUAUUUUAAUAUAAUUUCAAAUAAAAAAUAUUUAAAAAACAGUUUUUACAUACUCUAUUAACUCUACAGAGAAAAAAACAAAAAGAAAAUGCCCUUACAUUUGUCACAAAAUCAGUUUCUGACAUAUUGUUAGGAGUGCUCGACAAGUUUGUUUAGAUAGUUUACAAAGUCAUAAUUUGUUAUUAGGACACUAUCAUUUGACUUGAUUUUAAAGUGUUAUAUAUAUUUUUUUAAGUUAUUUUUUAUUUAAAAAUAUAUUAAAAUAAUUUAUUUUAUUUAUUUAAAUUAUUUUAAACAUAACACACUAAAACAAUUUAAAAAUAUUAACGAAAAUUAAAGAAAAAAUUAAUUUUUAAAAUAUAAAAACAAAUAUUUUUUUUUGUAAUCAUGAGUUUCCAAGCUAGUUUACACGAAUCUCGACUAAUCUCUCAAGACCCUGAAGUUAACAACCAGUCAAACCUUUAUCAGCUCUGUGAUUUGUGACACUUGAACUGAUAAUAUCUAGAGAAUAAAUUUGUGGUCCGACCAGUUGAGCCCCCUAGUAUUUAAAAAAUAUAGAAGUUGUUAUUUAAAAAAAAACAAUGAUUUUUAUAAAAACAUUUGUAAAAACAAAGAAAAUGGUUUUUUAAAAAAUAUGUAGAUACCUUUUGUUAUUUUUAUUUCAAAUCAAUUUAAAUAAUUGUUUUAAUCCUAUAGAAUUUGUUUUUUUUUUUAUGAAAAUCAGUUUUUAUAGUUAUAUAAUUAAAUAAAAAAAAUAAAACUGUCUCGGCAACGAGAUCAAAUAUUUUCUUGUUUAUGUAUCUUUCAACUUUCUACUUUAGCAUUUAUUUAACACUAACAACUCUUCUUAUGUUUUAUUAAAUCAUAUAAUUUUUAAUCUAUUCUAUUAAAUACACUCAUUAACUUUCAAAUUUCCAUUUAAAUUUUUUAUGACACAUUCAUGGUACAUGCAGAUUAAUUUUUUUUAUAUAUUAAAAACUAAUUUAAAAUCCUAUCCACAAUAUAUUUGUUCGGCAAUUGUCAUGAUGUUCGGGGCAUUCUUUUGUUCUGUGAGAAUAGCAUUGCUAGGAUCCCAUGAUGGGUUGUUAACAAUCAUCGUUGAAGUGGUGGCCGUUAUGUUUUUCCUUGCUCAGGCACUCCUUGUUUUUCCUUGGAUUAUCCCGCUAUAUUUCAACAAAGUUCUUCUACGGGUUCUCUUGCACCAUUUCUACUACGGCCUUUUUUUAGUGUUUAUCUACAGCAGCUGGUGGCUGCGUAAUAAACUCUCUGAUCUCAAGAGAACGCACCAUCUUUAGUAAGAUCAGAGGUCGGGAUUUUGGGAUCGAUAACAUCUUGGAUUGUGUCUGUCUACCGAUUGUGCAUGGUAAUAAUUUGAACUUGUAAUAACUCUUGAGUUUCCGAUUGAAUGUAUGCGCACUUCUACUUUUGUUUUUUCUUAAGCAUGCAUUUACUAUACUCUUAUUGGUGUUGUUGGAUUGAGUAAAAACAAAUUAAAUCAAAUGUUCAAAUUAAGAUAUUGUUAUUAGCGGAAGUUGAGAAUAAUUUAACUUAUUAGUUAGUUAAAUUAUAUAUAUGUGUGUGUGUGUGUGUGUGUUUGUAGGGAAAUAUAUAAUAAUAAUGAUGGAGGUUAUAGUAGAAAAGUAGUACUAUAAUAUUUUUGAUAUAGUAUGAUUACAAUAUUUCUUAUAUCAAUACAUUAAUAUCCCUUCUCAAUUGAAGAUGGAGGAUCAAUAUGAAAUUUGAACUGAAAAACAAUAAACGGAGUAGUAGAAAAUAGCUUAGUAAAACAUCUGAAAAUUAAUCGUGAGAAGGGAUAAAACAAAUCUGAAUUAAAACACCUCACUCGGUUAAAAUCUGAAUUAAUAGUGGAGAUCAACUUGGUCUAAAUCAACAAACAUCAUGCAAUCUGAUAAGCAACCAAGUGAUGAGCUGGAGCCAAGUGAUCUGGAGCCAAGAAGAUCGCACAGAGUUCCUAAAAAGAAUCGCAGGUUCAUAGAGCUGUGAAGAGCCAGUCAAGGAAAGAACGAGUCAAGGGGGAUCCAGUCACUGCAGUGUCCUCAGUGCAUGAGAGGAAGAAGUCAAGUCUUAUUUAUCAAAUUAAAUAAAUGCCAACUAUGUAGCAGGAGUCAGUUGCUAAGAAUCCUGAUUGUAUGUAGUCGUGCCAGUAUUUUAGAAAAGUUUGUUAUUUCAUUCCUGUAUUUAAACUCUGGUAUGAGACAGAGAAAGGAAUCAUUCAAAAAUUCAAUAAUAUCAACUUGUGGCUUAUUCUCGCCCAAAGCAGAAUACAAUUGUGAUUUAUCUUUGUCUUUUAUUACUAGCUGUGACAGGGACCUAUCAAUUGGUAUCAGAGCUGGUCAACAAUGACAACAAACAAAGGAGCGGAUAGAAAAUUUGGAAGUGGGUCUGGGAGGACUUCAGGAUGGAAUGAGUCGAAUGGAGAUUACCCUUGUUGACAGAAUGCAUCAGAUGGAAGCCAACAUCAACAAAUUGACAGAGGCGUUACUGUCCAACAAAGAAGGAUCCAGCAGCCAAUCCAUUGAGCGCAACGGACGACCUCGCCAUCAGCGUGAAGAAUUCACAGAACGAACAGAUGGAACAAACAGAUGUUCUCUUCCAAACUGGCGAAGCUUGAGUUUCCAAUAUACUCAGGAAACGACCCCACUGAAUGGUUCAACAGAGUUGAUCAAUUCUUUGAGUAUCAAGGCACUACCGAAACACAAAAGGUGUCGUUAGCAUCUUUUCAUCUUCAAGGGGAGGCGAACCAGUGGUGGCAAUGGCUGAGACGUGCUUACAAAGACGAAGACAGAGAGGUGACAUGGCCAAUUUUUGAGGAGGAAUUGUGGGCAAGGUUUGGACCACCAGAAUGUGAGGAUUUUGAUGAAGCAUUGUCAAGGGUGAGACAAGGGGGCUCAUUACGGGAGUACCAAAGAGAAUUCGAGAGGCUGGGUAAUCGUGUGCAAGGCUGGACUCAAAAGGCACUAGUGGGACUUUUAUGGGAGGCUUGAAACCAGACAUAGCAGAAGGGAUUAGGAUGUUUAAACCCAAAUCAUUGAAAGAAGCAAUAAGCCUAGCCAGAAUGAGAGAUGAGCAAUUAACUCGCCAACGACGUAAGCCAUUUCCCAUCAAUCAUAAUCCAAUUGCUUCCUUUUCUCCAACAAAGUCACCAGCGGCCAUGCCCAUGAAACGUCUUGCUUGGGACGAGAUGCAGAAGAGACGAUCUCAAGGUCUCUGCUUUAAUUGUGACGAAAAAUUCACUCCUGGCCAUAAGUGUCAAAAGCCCGUCUGUUGCUACUGGAAGGGAUGAUGAGACGAGCUUGCAAGAUGACGAGGAAUUUGAAGGUGAUGAACCUCAAAUAUCAUUACAUGCUCUUACUGGUUGGUCAACUGCCAAAACAAUGUGAAUUAUGGCAAGAAUUGAGAAUCAAGAUUUGACUGUCCUCAUUGACAGUGGCUCCACGCACAAUUUCAUUAGCGAACGGAUUGCUAAUUGGCUACACCUGCCAGUGAUACCAACACAGCCCUUCAACGUGAAGGUGGCAAAUGGGAAUCCAUUGAAAUGUCAGGGAAGAUUUGAAAACAUACACGUCCGACUUCAAGGUAUUCCAUUUAUUCUGACUUUAUAUGCCCUACCAUUAUGUGGAUUGAUUUGGUUUUGGGAGUGCAGUGGCUAGAGCAAUUGGGAACAGUGGCCUGUGAUUGGAAGAAAAUGACCAUGGAAUUUAUGUGGAAGAAUCAAAUGCAGAAACUACAGGGAAUUGAUGCCCAACACAUUCAACCCGCAUCUCUAAAAGAUGUUUCGAAGGAGCUGCGCCAAAGCAAAACAAUGUUUGCUAUCUGUUUGCAAACCGAAGCCGAGAUACCUGUCAGCAAAGUGGAGUCUGAAAUACAGUAGAUGUUGGAGGAAUUUGGAGAUAUUUUUCAAACUCCAGCUCAAUUGCCACCGGUCCGGGAGAUUGACCACACCAUCACUGUCAAAGAAGGAACCGAGCUUGUCAAUGUCAGAACAUACAGGUAUGCCUAUUUUCAAAAAGCUGAAAUUGAAAAACAAGUUCAAGACAUGUUAAAAUUGGGAUUUAUAAGAUCAAGCACUAGCCCUUUUUCAUCUCCUGUUUUGUUAGUUAAAAAGAAAGAUGGCACAUGGCGUUUUUGCACUGAUUAUAGAGCCCUUAAUGCAGUAACGUUAAAGACCGAUUUCCUAUUCCUACGGUAGAUGACAUGUUAGACGAACUACAUGGGGCUGUUUAUUUUACCAAACUAGAUUUGACAGCUGGUUACCACCAGGUUAGGGUAUCCCCAAAUGAUAUUCAUAAAACUGCUUUCCGCACCCAUAAUGGUCAUUACGAAUACUUAGUCAUGCCAUUUGGUCUUUGUAAUGCCCCCUCUACUUUUCAAGCCCUUAUGAAUGCCAUAUUUCGACCCUACCUUCGUAAAUUUGUGUUAGUCUUUUUUGACGAUAUCUUGAUCUAUAGUCCCAAUUGGACCAUGCAUCUUGCACAUGUUCGCAAGGCUUUUGAAAUUCUAAGGCAAUACAAAUUUUUUGCAAAAUUGAAGAAAUGUGCAUUUGGCCAACAAGAGUUGGAGUACUUGGGGCAUAUUAUUACUCCAAUGGGGGUUAAGGUUGAUCAAGCAAAAAUCCAGGCAAUGCUAUCCUGGACAAGACCUACUAAUAUAUCUGAGCUUCGUGGAUUUUUAGGUCUUACAGGUUAUUACAGGAAAUUUGUUCGUAAUUAUGGGAUUCUUGCUCGUCCAUUGACAUCCUUAUUACGCAAAGGUCAAUUUUGCUGGAAUGAUGACGCCGAGGCAGCUUUUGAGGCAUUAAAGACAGCAAUGACUUCCACUCCAACCCUUGCAAUGCCUAAUUUUGCUGAAGUUUUUGUGAUUGAGUCUGAUGCUUCCGGAGAUGGCAUCAGUGUUGUUCUAACUCAACAAGGGCGGCCAAUAGCUUUCAUGAGUCGCACUUUGGGGCUAUCCAAGCGUGCAUGGUCAACUUAUGCGAGAGAAAUGUUGGCUAUUGUGGUGGCUGUCCAGCUGUGGAGACCAUACUUGUUAGGCCGUAAAUUUGUGAUCCAAACAGAUCAACGCAGCUUAAAGUACCUAUUGGAGCAGCGUAUUACUACCCCAGAACAGCAGAAAUGGGUAUCAAAAUUACUUGGCUAUGAUUAUGAAAUCGUGUAUAAGCCAGGCAAGGAGAAUUCGGCUGCAGAUGCAUUGUCACGUAUGACGGGCAGCCCUUGCCUUUCACACUUAUCUGUUCCACAAAUUCACGUGUGGGAUCAACUUAAGGCCGAAGCUGUUUCCCAUCCUUACAUGAAGAAAAUUGGCAAGCUGGCUACUGAGAAUCCGGACAGCCCCUAUAAAUGGCGAAAUGGGUUGCUUCACUACAAAAGCAGAGUAGUAAUUGCCCCCAACUCUGAUAUCAUUCAGCAAUUGUUACGUGAAUUCCAUGAUUCACCUCUUGGGGGGCAUUCAGGUGUAUUGCACACCUACAAACGGCUGGCGCAACAGUUUUAUUGGCCAUUAAUGGCUCACAUAGUGAAGGAAUAUGUAGCUUCUUGUGAUGUAUGUCAACGGGUGAAGUCAGACACACUGUCACCAGCGGGUUUAUUGCAGCCAUUACCCGUCCCCUGUCAAGUUUGGGAUGACAUCACGAUGGAUUUUAUUGAGGGUCUCCCACAAUCUGGCGGAAAGAACACAAUUUUUGUCGUUGUUGAUCGACUUAGUAAGUCAGCACAUUUCUUGGCAUUGGCUCAUCCUUAUACGGCCAAAAUGGUGGCUGAGAAAUUCGUUGAAGGUGUGGUGAAGCUACAUGGUAUGCCACAAUCCAUUAUUAGUGAUAGAGAUCCUAUCUUUAUCAAUCACUUUUGGCGUGAGUUCUUUAAAUUGUCAGGUACCAAACUGAAGAUGAGUUCCGCAUAUCAUCCACAAACGAAUGGGCAAUCUGAGGUUGUCAAUCGUUGUGUCGAACAAUAUCUUCGGUGCUUUGUUCACCAGCAGCCCACCAAAUGGAAUUCACUUCUACCUUGGGCUGAGUUCUAGUAUAAUACCACUUAUCAUGCUUCCACAGGUAUGACACCAUUCCAUGCUCUUUAUGGAUGUUUACCACCGACAAUUCCCCAUUACCACAUUGGCAUGUCUCCGGUGAAUGAAGUGGAUCAGCAACUCGCCUCUAGAGAUGAAUUAUUGAGUCUGCUCAAGGCCAACUUGCAUGCUGCUAGUAAUCGCAUGCAACAACUCGCUAAUUCUAAGCGACGUGGUGUUGAAUUUCAAGUGGGAGACUGGGUUUUUCUUAAGCUUCAUCCUUACCGUCAGCAAUCGGUGGUCAAACGUGUAUGCAAAAAAUUGGCUAGUCGCUAUUAUAGCCCCUAUUAGAUUGAAGAACGAAUUGGCACAGUGGCGUAUAAGCUGAAGUUGCCUACCCAGGCUCGUAUUAAUCCUGUUUUUCAUGUGUCCUUGAUCAAAAAGAAAAUUGGUGACGAGGCCGUCGAUACGAUCAAUUUGCCUCCUAUGACUGCUGCUGGUGAAAUGCUGAUCGAACCUGAGGCCAUCUUAGACACUCGUUGGAUCAAGAAGGGGUCUCGGUUUGUCGAAAAAAUUCUGGUGAAAUGGAAACACCUGCAGACUGAUGAUGCAACUUGGGAAGAUGUUGUGACGUUACAAGAACGAUUUACCAACUUGAACCUUGAGGACAAGGUUCCCUUAAAUGGGGGAGGUAUUGAUAAGCAGCAGCUGGAGCCAAGUGAUCUGGAGCCAAGAAGAUCACACAGAGUUGUCAAGUCUUAUUUAUCAAAUUAAAUAAAUGUCAACUAUGUAGUAGGAGUCAGUUGCUAAGAAUCCUGAUUGUAUGUAGUCGUGCCAGUAUUUUAAAAAAGUUUGUUAUUUCAUUGCUGUAUUUAAACUCUGGUAUGAGACAGAGAAAGGAAUCAUUCAAAAAUUCAAUAAUAUCAACUUGUGGCUUAUUCUCGCCCAAAGCAAAAUACAAUUGUGAUUUAUCUUUGUCUUUUAUUACUAGCUGUGACAGGGACCUAUCACAAUCCCUGCUUUAAUUUGAAUCAAUAAGGUUACUAAUAGGUUAAAGGCAUUUGCUAUAGAUUUGACAUCACCCUUGAGUACAUUAAAAGAGAACUGCAGUAUUUUUUCAAGGUAAAAGAACGUGCAAUUUCAAAAAAGGUUUUGUUCUAAGAAAUACAGCCAACACUACUAACCCCACCAUCAAUAGCGAAGAGAGCACAAUAAUGCAAAUUGUGUCCCACGUUGUCCUUUGAUGAUAAGUUUUUUUUGUUGUCUAUACACCACCCCACCAUCAACAGGAGAACACAAUAAUGCAGAUUGUGUCCCACGUUGUCAUUUGAUGAUUAGUUUUUGUUGUCUAUAGUUAUUCCCAUUGGGUUAUAAACAGUAUCUUAUAAAAAUUAAUUAAGAAAAAACUUGCUCAGUGUUUCACUGUGCAAGUCCACAGUGAAACGCUGAGCUGUAUUUUUUUUUUUUUUUUUUUUUUUUUUUUUUUUUUUUUUUUUUUUUUUUGCUUUUAACUCUUUUUUUCUUUGUUUUUUUAGCUGUUUCAUUUUUUUUUAAUGAAUUUUUUUUUAAAAAAAUUGUUAAUAUUAAAUUUUCUUUUAUUUAGUUAUCAAAUUUUUAUAAUACAAGUUUGAGUUUGAUGGAUUAACCCGGAUUUUUUUUCUGGUUUUUCUUUUUAAUUAAAUUUUUCGAGUGCAGUCCACAGUUAAACGCUUAGCUAUCUAUUUUUUUUUUGCUUUGUUUUUUUAAGUUUUUUUUUAUAUUUUUUUUUUUAAGCUGUUUUGUUUUCUUUGUUUUUUUUUAAUUAAUACUUUUUUUGUUUAUUUUUUUUGGUUAAUGUUAAUUUUUUUUCUAUUUAGUUGUCAAACUUUCAUUACAUUGGUUCCGAGUUUGACACGUUAACCCUGAUUUUUUUUCUGGUUUUUCUUUUUAAUUAAUUUUUUUGAGUGCAAUCACAGUGAAACGCUUAGCUGUCUUUUUUUUUAAAAAAGUUUUUUUUUCUUUUUUCUUUUUUUUUUAAGUUGUUUUUUUCUUUGUUUUUUUUAAUGAAUAUUUUUUUGUUUAAUUUUUUUUGUUUAUGUUAAAUUUUUUUCUAUUUAGUUAUCAAACUUUCAUUACAUGGGUUCCGGGUUUGACGCGUUAACCCAGAUUUUUUUUUGUUUUUUUUUAAUUAAUUUUUUCGUUUAAUUUAGUUUGUUAAUGUUAACUUUUUUCUAUUUAGUUAUCAAACUUUCAUGACAUUGAUUCCGGGUUUGACGGGUUAACCCAGCUAUUUUUGGGUUAACCCGUAAAUUAUUUUUUCCCUGUUCAGUUAUCAAACUUUAAUGACACGAAUCCCAGAUUUGACGGGUUAACCUGGUUUGAAGGAUUAACCCAGAUAAUUCAGAUUUUUUUUCUUUUUCUUCAUUAGUUUUUUUCUUCAUGUAGGAUUUUUUUAAAAAAAUUUAAUAUUUUUUUUGUUUCGUAUUUUUUGUUUUUUAUUUUGUUUUUUAAUUAUUUUUUUAAAAUUUUGUUUGUUAAUAUUAAGUUUUUUUAUAUUUAGUUAUCAAACUUUCAUGAUACGAAUCCCAGGUUUGAUGGAUUAACCUGGUUUGACAGGUUAACCCAGUUAAUUCAGAUUUUUUUUUCUUUUUCUUCAUUAUUUUUUUUUUCUUGUAGGUUUUUUUUCCUUUGUUUUUGUUCAUUUUAGUUUAUUAAUGUUAAAUUUUUUAUAUUUAGUUAUCAUACUCUCAUGACACGAAUCUCAGAUUUGACGGGUUAACUUGAUUUGGCGGGCUAACCCAGUUAAUUCAUAUUUUUUUUCUUUUUCUUUAUUAGUUUUUUCUUCCAAUUUUUUCUUUAAAUAUUGUAAUUAACAAUAACUAAAAGACAUCAAUCUUUUUUCUUCCAAUUUUAUAACACGAAUCCCAGGUUUGAUGAGUUAAACCAGUUAAUUAAUUUUUUUUUUCUUAAGUAGUUUUUUUCUUUCAAUUUUAUUUUUAAUAUCGAUUUGAUUAAAAAUUAAACUUUAUGAUUUAUUUUGUUUACUGGUCAUUAAAUUAUUGUGAUCUCAUGAGGGGAUUUUACCGUGCCCCUCCUUGGAAAGCACUAUUCAUCAGAAUAAUACUUUGUUUUAUUGUUUAUUUCUUUUCAAUUAUUUUUUUUUAAUUUUAUUAUGUAAUAUUAAUUUUUUUUUUAAUUAUCACACUUCUAUAACAAAACCUUGCAACCAGACUCAUAUCAAAGGCUCCGUAUUUGAUGUUGCCACCAAACUCACUUAAAUUUGGGCUAUGCAAUUUUAAUAUUAUUAUUAAUAUAACUUUUGAAUCAAGAGUAACAGAUAGACCCAAUGCUUUUAAGUAUAACUUUAUAGAAAAACCUAACACUCUUAAAUUUUAACUUUUUUGAAUAUUUUUUAUAUAAAACACAUUGACCCGCAGCGUAGCGCGGGCCACAUUUCUAGUUGAACACUAAUCCAUGUGGUUUCUAAAAAUUAAUUCAUGGGUAAACUCAGAUCUUGAUUUCACUAUUUUUUUCAUUAUACUGUACAAUAGGAAGGGUGAGAGGCAGUUUGAAAGAAACAUUAUAGUAAAUGGUGAUAGCAAAAACAACCUAGGGAUGAGACAACGACGGCAGGAAUAAUUAUAAAUGAAUACAAAACUAAGUAACAAAGAGUGACAUUUUAAAAAAAAAAACAAAAAAACAAAAGAGACUGAAUAUUAUUAUGCCGUAAUCAUAUGGUUCAAAUUAUAAUUUUUCUUGAUUGAAAUAAUUAUAUGGAUAUAUAUGUGCGUACAAUACCUAUAAUUAAUAUAAUGUCUGUUAAAAGGUAUAAUAUCAAUGAAAAAAAUAUAAUACUGCUUUUAAAAAAUUAAUAAAAGAUUCUACUCGUUCACCAUUAUUUAAUAAUUGCUUUUAGAAUAAGUCUCCUGUCACUUUACACCAUCAACUUUGCAAUUAAAUGCAUACUUUACCGGCUCAUAUUCAUUGAAACUAAUAAUACUCUAAUCACCUGAACAAGAGGUAAUAAUUAAUUGGCUUUUGGAUUGAGAUCCAACAUUACUUAAUUUUUAAUAAUUGGUUGUACGUGAUUUGUUGAAAAUAUAAAAAUAAAUAAUUUGUGUUUUAGCAGCCGUGAGUUUUCAAGUUAACUUACACGAAUUUUAAUUAAUUUUUCAAUAUUAUAAAAUUAAUAAUUGGAUAAAUCUUUAUUAACUAUGUGAUUUAUAACGCUCAAAUGACUAAUCUUUAAAGAAUAAAGUCAGGGUAUGACUAGUUAAAUCAUCUCAAUAUCAAAUAAUAUAAGUGCUAAUAUAGUUCACAUUUUCCUCCUUUCCUUUUCCUUUUCUAGAUGCUGCUUUAACCAUGGCCAAGGCUGCUCUCUCCUUCUGGUCUAUUUAAAUUAGAAGUCCAGCUGUCUGAUAUGUAUAGCUGAUUCAACCAACACCAUAUUUUCUUUUGCCAUGUCUAGCGUAGCAAUAAACAUUGAUGAAAACUCGAUUCCGAGAGAUCACAUGGCAAAUGCAAUGAUAGAUAGUCAGUUGCAUGAGUGUGUGAGGCAGAACAUUAAUACUGAGGAAUUUAGAAGGCUUGUCCAGCAACGUUCAGCGGAGAAGCUUGUGACACCCUGCGGGAAUACACUACUUCACGUAGCUGUAAGCUAUGGAAGUGACAAUAUUACAUCUUAUCUGGCUCAAACGUUUCCUUCUCUCAUCACCAUCCAAAACAGCCAGAAGGACACAAUCCUUCACCUUGCUGCCAGAGAAGGAAAGUCCAGUGAUACAAUUAAAUCUCUUGCGGAAUCGAAUCCGAGCUUGAUGGGGAAGACAAAUACAAAGGGAAACACUCCUUUGCAUGAUGCAGUGGUCAAGGGCAACAAAGACCUUGCCAUUUUCCUAGUUUCCAUAGAUCCAGAAGCGGCCUAUUACAACAACAAUAAUGGCAAGUCUCCUUUAUAUCUGGCUGUUGAGAACGGCAAUAAGAAAGAGAUACUUGAUGAUCUCUUGAAAACGAAAGCUUCGUUCCCUAUAAAAAGUGAAGAUGGUGAUGCCCUACCAAAAGGAAAGUCACCUGUUCAUGUUGCCAUCAAGCAACGUAACAGAGGUGAUCACAAUUUCAUUACUCACUAGAAAAUGAAUUACAUACAAACAAUUGUUGCAAAGCUAUCAUCUUUAUAUUCAUUUGAAACAUUUUCUUUUGAUUUUCAGAUAGUUUGGAGAAAAUUCAAAGGGAAAAGCCAGAGCUAUUACGUCUCACCGAGGAAGAGUUUGGAAAUUCACUGCAUUAUGCAUCAUCCAUAGGAUUUCUGGAAGGAGUUCGAUUCCUAUUAAAGAAGUUUCACGAUGGUGCUUAUGAAACAAACCUUGAAGGCAACUAUCCUAUCCAUGUAGCAUGUAAAAGUCACUCUGUUGAUGUAGUGAAGGAAUUUCUUGAUAAAUUCCCAUAUCCAAAAGAAUUCCUCAAUAAGGAAGGGCAGAACAUUCUUCAUGUAGCGGCCAAAUAUGGAAAUAGCAGUGUGGUUAGGUAUAUACUCAAACAGGACGAGGAGCUCGUCGCACCGCUGCUAAAUGCGAUAGAUGAGGAUGGAAAUACACCUUUGCAUUUGGCAGCACGUUAUGGCCGAUGCACGGCUACAUUUCUUCUUGUGCGUGACAAUCGCGUUGAACAUUUGAUUGUUAACAAUAGAAAUUGGACACCAUAUGAGUGUGCUGAAGAUUUUUCCAAAAUAUUUGAAGAGGAAUACAUAGAAACAGUAUGCAACUAAUUUGAUCAUCAUUUAUCGAGCUACAAAAUUCUAUAUAUUUUAGGAGUAUUACUGAUUUAAUAUUUUGGUAUCUGGGCUUCCUCUUUGUUGCCAGCGUGCCGAGGAACGAGAGCAGUUUGAUUCAAAGAACAGUACCCGGGCGCACGAGAUCAAGGUAUUUACGUUUAGGAUUAUGAUAAGUUUUUUCUAUUUAAGAAACAAUAUUUUUUAUAAAAUACUAUCCAAAAAAAAACAGAGAGGACGGAUUAAUAAUUUUUUUUUAUUAAAUAGAUAUCUUUUAUAUAUUUAUUUCAAUAAAAUCAUGAAAAGUUUUGUCCAUAUUUAUUAUUUUAAUUGCUUUUAGUUUUUAUGGAAUAAAAACAUAGCUAAAAAAAUAUUUAUUUUUUUUCAAGAAAAUCAUCAAUUCAUUAUUCUUUUAUUUCUGAAUUAAAACUUAUUUAUAAGAUUAUGAUAGGUUGUUAUUAAAAAAAGGAAAACAAUUUUAUAAAAACAUUAGUAAAACAAAUGGAACGUAUUCAUAAGGAAAAUGGUUUUGAUUAAAAAAAAUAUAGAUACCUUUUUUAUUUUUGUUUCAAAUCAAUUUAAAUUAUUUUUUUUAUCCUAUAGAGUUUAAAUUAUUUAUGAAAAUUAAUUUUUAUUGUCAUGUAAUUAAAUAAAAAGAAUUAAAAGUAUCUCGCAACACGAAAUAAAAAAUCUUCAAUAUAUAUAUAUAAGCUCGUCAAACCGCUGCUAAAUGCGAUAGAUGAGGAUAGAAACACACCUUUGCACUUGGCAGCAGUUUAUGGCCGAUGCAUGGCUACAUUUCUUCUUGUGCGUGACAAUCGCGUUGAACAUUUCAUUGUUAACAACGAAAAUUUUACACCAUAUGAUGUUGCGAAACAACAAUCUAAAAUGGCUGUAGACCAAU